RNAcentral lists this ribosomal RNA (425 nucleotides) under uncultured bacterium. RNAcentral's name for it is "partial 16S ribosomal RNA". It matches the Rfam family "Bacterial small subunit ribosomal RNA", at positions 354 to 796 of the family's 1533-position model. The record is from RNAcentral.
GUGGGGAAUAUUGGACAAUGGGCGAAAGCCUGAUCCAGCCAUGCCGCGUGAGUGAUGAAGGCCUUAGGGUUGUAAAGCUCUUUUGUCCGGGAAGAUAAUGACUGUACCGGAAGAAUAAGCCCCGGCUAACUUCGUGCCAGCAGCCGCGGUAAUACGAAGGGGGCUAGCGUUGCUCGGAAUCACUGGGCGUAAAGGGCGCGUAGGCGGACUUUUAAGUCGGAGGUGAAAGCCCAGGGCUCAACCCUGGAAUUGCCUUCGAUACUGGGAGUCUUGAGUUCGGAAGAGGUUGGUGGAACUGCGAGUGUAGAGGUGAAAUUCGUAGAUAUUCGCAAGAACACCGGUGGCGAAGGCGGCCAACUGGUCCGAAACUGACGCUGAGGCGCGAAAGCGUGGGGAGCAAACAGGAUUAGAAACCCGUGUAGUCC